RNAcentral lists this ribosomal RNA (463 nucleotides) under uncultured bacterium. RNAcentral's name for it is "bacterial SSU rRNA". It matches the Rfam family "Bacterial small subunit ribosomal RNA", at positions 330 to 794 of the family's 1533-position model. The record is from RNAcentral.
UCCAGACUCCUACGGGAGGCAGCAGUGGGGAAUAUUGCACAAUGGGGGGAACCCUGAUGCAGCGACGCCGCGUGGGUGAAGGAGCACCUCGGUGCGUAAAGCCCUAUCGGCAGGGAAGAAAAGCGAACAGGUUCGCCUGGACGGUACCUGACUAAGAAGCCCCGGCUAACUACGUGCCAGCAGCCGCGGUAAUACGUAUGGAGCAAGCGUUAUCCGGAUUUACUGGGUGUAAAGGGAGCGCAGACGGCAGGGCAAGUCUGAUGUGAAAGUCCGGGGCUCAACCCCGGGACUGCAUUGGAAACUGUCCGGCUAGAGUGCAGGAGAGGUAAGCGGAAUUCCUAGUGUAGCGGUGAAAUGCAUAGAUAUUAGGAGGAACACCAGUGGCGAAGGCGGCUUACUGGACUGUAACUGACACUGAGGCUCGAAAGCGUGGGGAGCAAACAGGAUUAGAUACCCUAGUAUC